GGGGCCGACUGGAUUCGACAUCGUGGGUCUGAGGUGAGGAGCAGGUCGUGGUCUCCUCGCCACGCUAAACAGGGGUACUGUCAAAUUAAUUGGCAAAACUCAUUCUUUUGGGCAGCGUCAGCUCGCCCUUGCCGCAUAACAUAAGUCGGCACGUCAAUCCCAGGUUCUUUCCCGUCCUGGGUGCGAUGUCAUCUUAGGGAGAUGCUCUUCGGCACGUAGUCGGUAUGGCCGAAGCUAAGAUUGAACCGGCUCGGGAACGCAACGCCUGUCGGCGCGCCGCGCGAACCUUAAACUCGAGCGACGACUAAGCUUGUAGAGC
RNAcentral lists this transfer-messenger RNA (319 nucleotides) under Eggerthellaceae bacterium. RNAcentral's name for it is "partial transfer-messenger RNA". It matches the Rfam family "transfer-messenger RNA", at positions 1 to 322 of the family's 374-position model. From Rfam's summary of the family: Bacterial tmRNA, also known as 10Sa RNA or SsrA, is named for its dual tRNA and mRNA-like properties. Its role is to liberate the mRNA from a stalled ribosome. Lineage: Bacteria; Bacillati; Actinomycetota; Coriobacteriia; Eggerthellales; Eggerthellaceae. The record is from RNAcentral.